Ictidomys tridecemlineatus (thirteen-lined ground squirrel) is the source of this 71-nucleotide non-coding RNA. The record is from Rfam. Lineage: Eukaryota; Metazoa; Chordata; Mammalia; Rodentia; Sciuridae.
GGCAUGUAGCUCAAUGGUAGAGCACUUGUCUAGCAAUUACGAGGCCCUGGGUUCAAUCCCCAGUAUUGCCU